GUGCUCACUUACAGCAGCACAUAUACUAAAAUUGGAAUGAUACAGAGAAAUUAGCAUGGCCCCUGUACAAGGAUGACACGCAAAUUCACAAAGAAUUCCAAAGUGUGU
This is a small nuclear RNA of Apodemus sylvaticus (European woodmouse), 108 nucleotides long. The record is from RefSeq and is a predicted model, not a curated record. Lineage: Eukaryota; Metazoa; Chordata; Mammalia; Rodentia; Muridae.